RNAcentral lists this ribosomal RNA (460 nucleotides) under uncultured bacterium. Its description in RNAcentral is "partial 16S ribosomal RNA". It matches the Rfam family "Bacterial small subunit ribosomal RNA", at positions 338 to 795 of the family's 1533-position model. The record is from RNAcentral.
CCUACGGGCGGCAGCAGUGAGGAAUAUUGGUCAAUGGACGAGAGUCUGAACCAGCCAAGUAGCGUGAAGGAUGACUGCCCUAUGGGUUGUAAACUUCUUUUAUAUGGGAAUAAAACGUUCCACGUGUGGGAUUUUGUAUGUACCAUAUGAAUAAGGAUCGGCUAACUCCGUGCCAGCAGCCGCGGUAAUCCGGAGGAUCCGAGCGUUAUCCGGAUUUAUUGGGUUUAAAGGGAGCGUAGGUGGAGUGUUAAGUCAGUUGUGAAAGUUUGCGGCUCAACCGUAAAAUUGCAGUUGAAACUGGCAGUCUGGAGUACAGUAGAGGUGGGAGGAAUUCGUGGUGUAGCGGUGAAAUGCUUAGAUAUCACGAAGAACUCCGAUUGCGAAGGCAGUUCACUGGACUGCAACUGACACUGAGGCUCGAAAGUGUGGGUAUCAAACAGGAUUAGAUACCCCUGUAGUC